GAUGAACGCUGGCGGCGUGCCUAAUACAUGCAAGUCGAGCGAACAGACGAGGAGCUUGCUCCUCUGACGUUAGCGGAGGACGGGUGAGUAACACGUGGAUAACCCACCUAUAAGACUGAGAUAACUUCGGGAAACCGGAGCUAAUACCGGAUAAUAUACUGAACCGCAUGGGGCAAUAGUGAGAGUCGGCUUUGGUGGAACUUAUCGAUGGAUCCGCGCCGUAUUAGCUAGUUGGUGAGGUAACGGCUUUUCAAGGCAACGAUGCGUAGGCGACGUGAGAGGGUGGUAGGCCACACUGGAACUUAGACACGGACCAGACUCCUACGGGAGGCAGCAGUAGGCAAUCGUCCGCAACGGGCGAAAGCAUGACGGAGCAACGCCGCGCGAGAGAUGAAGGUCUUCGGAUCGUAAAACUCUGUUAUUAGGGAAGAACAAAUGUGUACGUAGCUAUGCACUUCUUGACGGUAACUAAUCAGAAAGCCACGGCUAACUACGUG
Molecule: ribosomal RNA, 497 nt
Filed under: uncultured bacterium
Lineage: Bacteria
Description: partial 16S ribosomal RNA
Rfam family: Bacterial small subunit ribosomal RNA
Source: RNAcentral